UACAGAGGGGGCAAGCGUUGUUCGGAAUUACUGGGCGUAAGGGCUUGUAGGUGGCCAACUAAGUCAGACGUGAAAUCCCUCGGCUUAACCGGGGAACUGCGUCUGAUACUGGAUGGCUUGAGUGUGGGAGAGGGAUGCGGAAUUCCAGGUGUAGCGGUGAAAUGCGUAGAUAUCUGGAGGAACACCGGUGGCGAAGGCGGCAUCCUGGACCAUUACUGACACUGAAAAGCGAAAGCCAGGGGAGCAAACGGG
RNAcentral lists this ribosomal RNA (252 nucleotides) under uncultured bacterium. RNAcentral describes it as "partial 16S ribosomal RNA". It matches the Rfam family "Bacterial small subunit ribosomal RNA", at positions 524 to 776 of the family's 1533-position model. The record is from RNAcentral.